CAGCCGCCACGGGAAUACGGAGGGUGCAAGCGUUAAUCGGAAUUACUGGGCGUAAAGCGCACGCAGGCGGUCUGUCAAGUCAGAUGUGAAAUCCCCGGGCUUAACCUGGGAACUGCAUUUGAAACUGGCAGGCUAGAGUCUUGUAGAGGGGGGUAGAAUUCCAGGUGUAGCGGUGAAAUGCGCAGAGAUCUGGAGGAAUACCGGUGGCGAAGGCGGCCCCCUGGACAAAGACUGACGCUCAGGUGCGAAAGCGUGGGGAGCAAACAGGAUUAGAUACCCCAGUAGUCCCUGUCUCUUAUAC
RNAcentral lists this ribosomal RNA (301 nucleotides) under uncultured bacterium. Its description in RNAcentral is "partial 16S ribosomal RNA". It matches the Rfam family "Bacterial small subunit ribosomal RNA", at positions 509 to 807 of the family's 1533-position model. The record is from RNAcentral.